RNAcentral lists this long non-coding RNA (1057 nucleotides) under Helianthus annuus (common sunflower). RNAcentral describes it as "sRNA HanXRQr2_Chr03g0133611". The record is from RNAcentral. Lineage: Eukaryota; Viridiplantae; Streptophyta; Magnoliopsida; Asterales; Asteraceae.
GGUUUCGCAUCAGCAGAGAAGGUGAAUCCUCUCGAAACUUCACGGUAUCCAGCCAACGCCUGAUCAAGCAAAUACGGCUGCUCACAAGUGCUCAAUACAUACCUAUCACCUUCCUUAAUCGGAACCCAAACCUGCGCCAAAAUCCCCGCUCCAGACGAAUCUUUAACCAACGACAACGCCUUCAACAUUUUUUCAGCAAGCGAUGUCGACGGUGACCGGUAAACAACACCAUUUCCAAUCUCUUCAACCUUCUUUUGCUGACAACAACCACCAUUCUCAUCAUUCGAAUCAUUCGAAUUCCCCGGUACAACAAAAUCUCCACCGUAGAUCGAAUUUCGCUCGAUCAAAACAUCAACAUCAUUUCCUACAAACCCCCCCUUAACUUGUUCAGUAAAGUUCGAGUAAUCAAAAGGCGCAUAACCACCCGACAGCGCAAAAGAUGCUAGCAUCUGAUCAGCUGCACAUAAGUAUCAAAGUUCAUAAGCUCGGAAAACCCGUUAAACCCGUUAAACAACGGGUCUUCGGGUCUACCAAACCCAUCUAAAGGUGCAGAACUAUCCAUCUGAGCCCUAGGUGAAGCCCAGAAGCCCAUAGGUUUAUCUUUUGUUGGUGAAGGGUAUUCCAUUAUUCACAACCGAAUUAACCUUCACUCAUCUAUUAUUCCAAUCUUGAUAUAUCAAAAACAACUCAAUUAAACCUAAUCUGUACAAAAAUCACAGCUUUAACCUAAUCUGACGUAAUUAAACAAAAAGGGUAAACGGAUAAUCAACGAAUAACAAGUAAAAAUCAAACCUUGAGGGGUUUUAAGGCGAUAAACAGGAAUCAAAUCUCAAAAAUUGAGAAAAUAUAGAGGAAGUAAGUGAAUUGGGGAGGAAAAAGCAAACCCUAGGUGGUGAAUCUGAUAUGAUAAUAUCUUGUAAGGAUAGUAUAUAGAGGAAGGUGACAAAGAAGUGAGUUGAAAACCUCGAAAACUAUGAGAGCCCCAAACUUCAAGAGAAUACGGAUAGGCUUCAAGUCGGUUGCCGGAAAUGGUGAAAUGCUGUUUACCCAAAUUGGA